Molecule: non-coding RNA, 738 nt
Filed under: Herina hennigi
Lineage: Eukaryota; Metazoa; Arthropoda; Insecta; Diptera; Ulidiidae
Description: partial 12S ribosomal RNA
Rfam family: Microsporidia small subunit ribosomal RNA (bases 327-733)
Source: RNAcentral
AUGCAAGUUUUAGCGAGAGAAUUUAUUUAUUUGAAUAAUGGGUGAAUUUAUUUUAUUUGCAGUGAUUAAUAUUAUUAAUUAAAGAAAUUUAGAAAUAGAAAUUCUAUUUAGUAUUGGCAAAAUUUGUGCCAGCAGCCGCGGUUAUACUAAUAAUACGAAUAAGUCGAUUUCAGUAAGAGUUAAAUUGAAUAUGUAAAAAUAGAAAUGAAUUUGUUAGGUGAAAUUUUAAAUUUAUUUAUUUUUUAGAUUGGGUAGUUGAAGCUUGUAAAUUUUAAUUUAAAACUAGGAUUAGAUACCCUAUUAUUUAAGAUGUAAAUUAUUUGUUAAGGUAGUAGUAGUUAUGUUCUUGAAACUUAAAAAAUUUGGCGGUAUUUUAGUCUGUUCAGAGGAACUUGUCCUGUAAUCGAUAAUCCACGAUGGACCUUACUUAAGUUUGUCAUUCAGUUUGUAUACCGUCGUUAUCAGAAUAUUUUAUAAGGAUAAUAAUUUUCUAUAUUUUUAAUAAAAAUUCAUAUCAGAUCAAGGUGUAGCUAAUAUUUAAGUAGAGAUGAGUUACAAUAAAAUUAUUUAAACGGAGUCAUGUUUGAAAUGUUUGAUGAAGGUGGAUUUGAUAGUAAAAUUAUAUAGAUUAUUAAUUUGAUUUUAGCUCUAAAAUAUGCACACAUCGCCCGUCACUCUUACUAUUAAGGUAAGAUAAGUCGUAACAUAGUAGAUGUACUGGAAAGUGUAUCUAGAAUG